This 253-nucleotide ribosomal RNA is filed under the name uncultured bacterium. Its description in RNAcentral is "partial 16S ribosomal RNA". It matches the Rfam family "Bacterial small subunit ribosomal RNA", at positions 524 to 776 of the family's 1533-position model. The record is from RNAcentral.
UACGUAGGGGGCUAGCGUUGUCCGGAAUCAUUGGGCGUAAAGCGCGUGUAGGCGGUUCGGUAAGUCCGCUGUGAAAGUCGAGGGCUCAACCCUCGGAUGCCGGUGGAUACUGUCGGACUAGAGUACGGAAGAGGCGAGUGGAAUUCCUGGUGUAGCGGUGAAAUGCGCAGAUAUCAGGAGGAACACCAAUUGCGAAGGCAGCUCGCUGGGACGUUACUGACGCUGAGACGCGAAAGCGUGGGGAGCAAACAGG